UACAGAGGGUGCGAGCGUUAAUCGGAGUAACUGGGCGUAAAGGGCACGUAGGCGGUACUAUUAGUCUGAUGUGAAAGACCCGGGCUUAACCUGGGAUGUGCAUUGGAAACGGUAGAACUAGAGUUUGGGAGAGGGAAGUGGAAUUUCCGGUGUAGCGGUGAAAUGCGUAGAGAUCGGAAAGAACACUCGUGGCGAAGGCGACUUUCUGGCCCAAAACUGACGCUGAGGUGCGAAAGCGUGGGGAGCAAACAGG
This 253-nucleotide ribosomal RNA is filed under the name uncultured bacterium. RNAcentral's name for it is "partial 16S ribosomal RNA". It matches the Rfam family "Bacterial small subunit ribosomal RNA", at positions 524 to 776 of the family's 1533-position model. The record is from RNAcentral.